RNAcentral lists this non-coding RNA (84 nucleotides) under Candidatus Zhuqueibacterota. RNAcentral describes it as "Candidate division c-di-GMP-II sequence". It matches the Rfam family "Cyclic di-GMP-II riboswitch aptamer". The record is from RNAcentral. Lineage: Bacteria; Pseudomonadati.
UUAGUCAGCGAAAGCUUUGAUCCGUACCACACAUGUGGUCACCUUAUGGGUACGGGGAGCUAGUGGUGAAACCGGUCGCAAAAA